RNAcentral lists this unclassified non-coding RNA (340 nucleotides) under soil metagenome. Its description in RNAcentral is "partial contains 5.8S ribosomal RNA, internal transcribed spacer 2, and large subunit ribosomal RNA". The stretch from base 1 to 120 matches the Rfam family "5.8S ribosomal RNA", at positions 35 to 154 of the family's 154-position model. The record is from RNAcentral.
GAUGAAGAACGCAGCGAAAUGCGAUAAGUAGUGUGAAUUGCAGAAUUCAGUGAAUCAUCGAAUCUUUGAACGCACAUUGCGGCCAUAGGUAUUCCUUUGGCCAUGCCUGUUCGAGCGUCAUUUACACCCUCAAGCCUAGCUUGGUGUUGGGCGCCUGUCCCGCCGUUUUCGCGCGCGGACUCGCCUCAAAGUCAUUGGCGGCGGUCGUGCCGGCCCCCUCGCGCAGCACAUUUGCGCUUCUCGGAGGCCCGGCGGAUCCGCGCUCCAGCAAGACCUUUCACGACUUGACCUCGGAUCAGGUAGGGAUACCCGCUGAACUUAAGCAUAUCAUAGCGGAGGA